CGGGGCUUAAAGUCUUGUAAUUGGAAUGAUGGGAAUUUAAACCUCUUCCAGAGUAUCAAUUGGAGGGCAAGUCUGGUGCCAGCAGCCGCGGUAAUUCCAGCUCCAAUAGCGUAUAUUAAAAUUGUUGCAGUUAAAAAGCUCGUAGUUGAAUUUCUGCUGCAUUGCUUGUGUCCCUCUGGGGUCUGUGCAUGUGGCUUUUUUCGGACGGAGUUUCUUUGUCUGAAUGUUUACUUUGAGAAAAUUAGAGUGCUCAAAGCAGGCUUUAGCCUUGAAUAGUUUAGCAUGGAAUAAUAAAGUAGGACUUUGGUUCUAUUUUGUUGGUUUUAGGUACCAAAGUAAUGGUUAAUAGGAACAGUUGGGGGCAUUCGUAUUUAACUGUCAGAGGUGAAAUUCUUAGAUUUGUUAAAGACGAACUACUGCGAAAGCAUUUGCCAAGGAUGUUUUCAUUAAUCAAGAAC
Molecule: ribosomal RNA, 458 nt
Filed under: Theileria annulata
Lineage: Eukaryota; Apicomplexa; Aconoidasida; Piroplasmida; Theileriidae
Description: SSU rRNA
Rfam family: Eukaryotic small subunit ribosomal RNA
Source: RNAcentral